Molecule: long non-coding RNA, 1168 nt
Filed under: Salmo salar (Atlantic salmon)
Lineage: Eukaryota; Metazoa; Chordata; Actinopteri; Salmoniformes; Salmonidae
Description: lncRNA (ENSSSAG00000109949.1)
Source: RNAcentral
GUAGCAGGGAUCCAGGAGCUGAGGCUGAAGCAAGGAGAGUAGGGGCAGGGUAAGCAAGUCCAGAGCAGAAUCCAAGGAAGCAGUAGUGCGGGGACGAGUGACUGGAGACAGUGACCAGAGUCAGAGCGGACGGAACUGUAGCGGAGAGAAAAGCAGAGUCAGGCUAGGGAAAACCAGGCACAAGAGAAUAACAAGAUCUAUGCAGGAACAAACAGCUUGAACCGCAGACUGAGCAGAGUCUACAAACUAGCAGUGUGGAAGUGGCAGGGCUGAGUAUUUGUAAAGGCUUGAUUAUGGAACAUGUUGCAGCUGGUAGGGAUCUGCUCCGCCUCCAGCAUACCUGUCUCCACACACACACACACACACACACACACACACACACACACAGAGGGAGAGAGCACUGGGGAAGUGGCGGCAGGUUAGGGAGACACAGGAUGAGAAGUAGAUGGCAUGGCAGGAGCAGAUGUAACAGAGAGAAAAAAAUCUAUUUAAUACCUUUUUGAAUUCAGGCUGUAACACAACCAAAUGUGGAGUAAGUCAAGGGGUGUGAAUACUUUCUGAAGGCGCUGUAUGUACAGUAUGUAAUGCACUAUUACAGGACCUACAUGGACAAUUAAACCAUCCAGAGAUGCUCUUUAUUUCACUCUGUUGAUCUUCAUUAUCAAAUUCAUUGUUGCAGUUUACUCUGUUGCCUUUUGAAACUAUGCUUUUUAAAGUAUGUAUUAUGUGUUUAUGAUAAUCACCAUUGGAACCGCUCCCCCUUGUACCAGGAUCUGAAAGUCUUGCUUGACUCCAGAGAUGUUUGUGUGCCCCUUGCAACCUCCAAACGAUACAAGCAUGGCACCAGCCAGGUGCCAGAUUUAUCAGACCUAUGUUUUUUGAAGAUGUUUCAACUUUGAAGGGCUUUGUGAGCCAUAACAUACUUUUUGAGUGUGGGUGUGUUUACGGGUGUGUGUACCUGUAUGAAUUAGUGUGUGUUGUUCUUGAAGAUUAUUCACCAGGGUUUCACCACAAGAGUCCCUUUGGAAACAGAUGGUCAGAAUAGAUUGUGGGAGGUAAGCUAACAGAAAGCCCAUUCAGUCUGCCCCUCUUGUGCCCAGUUUGGACUCAAUGCUGUUUUUCUUGGACCAUCUGAAUGGCACUGCUUUUAAACAUAUCUACUCUUAAA